UGAAAGAAAAAAAAAUCAGAAGCAAAACUAAACUUGGGUGCUAUUAUUCCAAAGGAUAUCAAACUAAAGUGCAGUUUAGCAGAAACAUCCCUAUUUAGGUACCCCUACAAAUGGUACUCAUACAUGGGUACCGAAUUAGGGAGCUACCUAUUAAACAAAGCUGAAUCAUCAAAAUCAUCUUUUUUAAUUUGUAAAAAAAUUUUUCUCAGUUGUUUAGUUAUCACAUAAGGGAGAUACCCGUUAAACAGCUCCCUAAAUUAAUAUUCUUAGGCCUGGCAAUCCAACAUAAC
This is a non-coding RNA of Pelobates cultripes (western spadefoot toad), 290 nucleotides long. NCBI's taxonomy places the organism in Eukaryota, Metazoa, Chordata, Amphibia, Anura, Pelobatidae. The record is from the annotation of a GenBank genome assembly.